Molecule: long non-coding RNA, 201 nt
Filed under: Elaeis guineensis (African oil palm)
Lineage: Eukaryota; Viridiplantae; Streptophyta; Magnoliopsida; Arecales; Arecaceae
Description: long non-coding RNA (EGUI_LNC054016)
Source: RNAcentral
CGGGGGACUUAGUACUUCGACGAGCUGCUAUUUCACAACCUCAAAACCAAGAGAAACUUGCCCCAAACUGGGAAGGCCCGUAUGAAGUCAGGGAGGUAGUCCGGCCCGGAACAUACUAUCUAAAAGAGCUCGGAGGAGUAGACCUUCUGCGACCAUGGAAUUCGAAAAAUUUACGAAUGUAUUAUCGAAAACUUUGCCUUA